Molecule: ribosomal RNA, 274 nt
Filed under: uncultured bacterium
Lineage: Bacteria
Description: partial 16S ribosomal RNA
Rfam family: Bacterial small subunit ribosomal RNA
Source: RNAcentral
AUACGGAGGGUGCAAGCGUUGUUCGGAAUCACUGGGCGUAAAGGGCGCGCAGGCGGUUUGAUUAGUCAGAUGUGAAAGCCCACGGCUUAACCGUGGAAGUGCAUUUGAAACUGUCAGACUUGAGUAUCAGAGGGGAAAGUGGAAUUCCCGGUGUAGAUGUGAAAUUCGUAGAUAUCGGGAGGAAUACCGGUGGCGAAGGCGACUUUCUGGCUGAAUACUGACGCUGAGGCGCGAAAGCGUGGGGAGCAAACAGGAUUAGAAACCCCAGUAGUCC